UUGUCUCGAAGAUUAGAAACAUAGAGCAGUGUAGUAUUUUUUUAGGACAAACAGAGUAGUGCGUGUGAAUCCAUUAACAAGCAACAGAAUAAUUACAUAUGAUAGGCCAAAAAACCACAGCAAGGAACAUUAUAAAGAAGCUACAGGCUACAGCGAUAAACAACACGUAUGCAUAAAUAUUGCAAGGAAAAGGGAACAAAAUUAUUAUCAAGUAGGCAAGGCAAGAAGGUAUCCAACAUCAGGCUACUAUUUGUACGCAAGAAAUCAGAACUCCAAAACAAAAUGAGUUAUCGAGUGUUUGAUACAUCAUACUAAGACUGCUCAUGUUUAGUGUCUAAAAUCACAUCAGAUUCAGCACCAGUCACCUGAAAUACUACAGAUGAAAUGUUACCUGUAGAACGAUACCACUCAGAUAGCCAUAAUGUGAACACUCUGUAACUUCCUCAGGAAUGUUGCUUUCUGCCUAACCAUACUUUCUAACAACACUAACAAAGUUGAAUACUAAACUUAAAAUGUUAUCAGGACAACUGGUAAGGGAAAAAAAAUCCCAGCCAUUAUGCUGGACAUGGAAUGUCGGUGUAUUAGACCGGCAACCCGCCUAGGGGUACCCUAGGUGGUCUUUUAUGCGGUAAGGAUCAUCGAGAAUCAAGGAAUCAAUGGUGACGCAAGGAACACGAUUUAGACAGGUUCGGACCGCUAGAUCGCGUAAUACCCUACGUCCUGUGUGUUGGUUUGUAGUGAUCUAUGUUCUGGUCUUAAGGAUUGUGUUUGAGGAGGGUCCCUGCCCGGCCUUAUAUACCCGGGAGGGCAGGGUUACAAGUCUGAAUCCUAGUCGGGUACUAUUACAGAGUUCUACUCGGUAUUGGCCCGAGUAGUUUUCCAUAAAUAUACAAGACUAGUCCGAGAAGGAUACGCAUAUCCUUGUUCUAAUCUUGUCCGAGUACGUCCCUUAGUGGGCCGUCCAAGGCCUACUCGUGGGCCUGGGGAGCAUGCCCGACAAGCUCCCGAGUACUUUGUAGUCGUGCGCCACAUUCUUGGGUACUGCAGGCACCAUCCGAGUAGCUUGGUCGUAGAGGUAGAUUGAAGUGCACGAGUACUGUCGCGCGGCUGGAAGGUACUCUUUUUGCUUCUCCGAGUUGUUUCCGUCCCGAGUAAUUUUUAUAUGGUAGUGCGAUGUCAAUCGCACUCCAUAUGGAGUAGCCCCCGAGCCUUAGGUUGAGUCGAAGAGUCAGGCUUAGGGUCAAACCAGCUUUUGUCCAUUUUACCCUCGGAGAUCUUGAAAAAGAAAAAACUGACCAACGGGUACGGUACCCGCAGCCCCCGAGCACUUAGGCGAUUUCUGUCGUUGAAGUGGUCAGUAGUCCGUUGAGUAGAGUAGCCGUUGGGUGUUUAAGGCGAUUAAUACGCGAUUAAUCUGUCCGUUGCGUAACUGACGCGUCGAAACCGGAGCUGGCGGAGAUAAAUCUGGAAAACCCCUUUUUGGUUGCUGUUACGCCGCACGGGCAUUAGAUCUGUUCUUCUUUUUCCUCUGCUCCUCCUCUCCGCAUUUUGCCUCCGUGAAAACCGUCGCCGCCGCCAUAGCCCCGCUUUUUGGAGAAAGAUCCGAGUGUGAGCCCCCUCUUAUCUUGAGGUUGAGUCCAUCGAAUGCGCACCAAGAAGAUGGGCAAGAAACCCGAGAAGAUCCAAGGCAAGGCUCCGGCGACGGGCAAGGUCAAAUCCAAGAAGGGGAAAGAGUUGGUGCUGCCAGCGCCGAAAGUGGGGCGGACGGACCAAACUGCGCCGCCGCCACCUGGGGUGACUUGGCAACACUCGGUGAUGAAGGAAGAAGCUGUUCAAGCACUAGUUGAUGCCAAGCUCCUUCAGCCGAAGAAGAUCCUUGAGUGGCGCCCUGCGUUUCCCAACGCGUGGCAGUUUGAGGAACAUCCUGCCGAGACGGUGAUGCUUGCUCAUUUUGUGGAAAGGGGACUGGCGGUGCCCACCUCCGACUUCUUCAAAGGUAUUCUCGAGUACUACAAUCUUCAGCUCGUCCACUUGAAUCCUAAUGGUGUACUGCACAUGUCUAUAUUUGUACAUCUGUGCGAAGUUUAUCUGGAAGUACCUCCAAGUCUUGAGUUGUUUAGGAAGCUGUUCCGUUGCAAGCCUCAGCCGAGUGCCCAGCGGACGGAAGUCUUUGGAGGCGCCGGGUUCCAACUCAGGAACUCGAAUGUGUAUAUUGAGUAUAAUCUGACCGACUCCCAUGGGGAUUGGAAGAAAAGGUGGUUCUACAUCGGGAACCAUGAUCCUCGCUUGCCCAUGAUGACUGGUCACGCGUCCAAGCAUGCGGAAAACUGGGUAAGCGAGCCCGAGGAUACCCCAGAGCUCGAUCACCUGAUGCAGCAGAUUACCGAGUUGAAAGUGCUCGGUUUGACUGGGAUCAACGUGGCGGCCAGCUUCCUGAAGACAAGGGUCCAGCCACUUCAAAAACGUGCUCACUCGGGAAGUGAGUACGGAGGUCUGAAGGAUCCAUCGCGUAUGUCUGAUGAGGACAUAUCUGAUGAUGACGUAGAGGCGCUGCUGGCCAAGUUUUUUAGGAACUAUCAGGGAGUACCAGUAAUCCCUGCAGCCCUUCGUCAGUAUGACGCCUGGUACGAGCCAGAAGUGGUAAGUAUUUUCCUCCUGACUUCUUCUUCUUUAACUUGUGAUUCUUGUUGCUGAUACCGAUUUGUUGUUUGAAGUCCCGAGUUCUUGCCGGCUACUUGGUGCAAUCGGAAGAAGAGUCGGAAGCCGUUGUCGAGGAGUCGGAGGACGAGCCUUCUCCUCCUGUCAAGAGACGUAGAGUAGUCCGCAAGAUAUCUGCGGCUAAGUCUACUUCAACCCCUGAGAAGUCUCGGGUAUGUAGUCGGUAACUUGUGUAUUACUCACAAACUUGAAAUUCGUUAUUGAUUCGGUGAAUCUUAUCUUGGUUCGCGAAGGCUGUAGAUGAGGCUGUUUCUGAAGAAAUGGCCAUGUCCGACCCUGAAGUCGGUGAUGCGGCUGUUGACACAGUGCCAGAGAGGCUGCCAUCAACAGAAACUGUGGUAGCCUCUGGGUUAACCGCGCCAACUCCGUCGGCCGCCAUGCCGCCCAUUGCUGACCAGGCGGUCCUGGGGCUGCCCGCUGGAGUAGCGGGUACGGCGAAGGAGGUGUCACCAGUAUUUGCUACUGGUACCUUGCUGUCCAAUGUGAUCGCCAGUGGUAAGCGUUGUCCCUUCCGAUUGUAGUCAUUUGAGUAGUACUGUAGUCUUGACUUCGGUUUUGUAGGUCUUGGUGAGAAGACGGUGCCGGCGGCUAUUCCCGCGGCUCCUAGUACGCAGCCGCCUGUCGCUGAGAAGAAACGUGUGCGACUGCCGCCACGCUCAACCCGGUGAGCUUUUAUUUCUUUUUGAAUGACGUUGGGUUUGUCUUGGAGUCAUGCAGUGACACUUUGUUGGUGCAGGGAUGCAGAGGAGACUAUCCCUGUAGAGACAGGGAUAGUGCCGAAACCUUUGACUACAGCAUCUAUUCCUCUGGAGGACUUCAUUGUUGAAGAGGUACCUGAGGUUGACGUCGGCCGUCUUGGAGCUACUAUGUCAAUGCUGCAAGACGUAAUUCGCUCAGUGGAGGUUCCUGCUACGGCAUCAGGUUCAGGAAGCGUUGCUUUGUCAUCAUCUACUGGCGGAUCGGUGGCCGUAGUAGAUGUUGGAAAAGCCAAACAGGCGACUGCUCCUGGUAAGUGCCUGUAGUCUGUUUAUUGUAGUCGUAGUUGGUAGCUGACAUGGUGAAUGUUGUAGGUGCUGCUCUGGGUACGAUUCCUCAUCUUGUGGAGAGUACCCAAAGGCCGGUACUCAGUCUACCUUCUGACUUGGAGUUCCAGAGGGCCAUUGAUGUUUUCCGGGGCUUCCAGGUAGAUAUCCCUGUUGAUGUUGUUGCAUGACACGAGUUGCUGUGAGGCUUAAGGCCCUGUUUGUGUACGCUUUUCUGGAACUCGCUUAUCUGGCAAGCAAGCUUAUUUGAUAAGCCUGCUGCCUGGAGAAUCUGCUGUCUGAAUAAGCAGGGUGUUUGGCAAUCCUGAUUAUUUUGUGUCGAUUGUCUGUCCAGGUUGGUAAAUUGACCUGAAUGCCCUAAAGUUGAUAAUAGCUCAUUUUUAUUGUGAAUAUGAGGGGCUAAGCCCGACGGCGGGGGCUAAGCCUGUCGACGAGGGCCAAGCCUCCAGGGGCCAAGCCCGACGGCGGCGGCGGGGGCACGCCCGGCGGACGGCAUCCGGCGUCGGUUGCAGGGGCGGCGGCGGCGGACAGGAGCCGGCGGCGGGGGCCAAGCCGCCAGGGCCCAAGCCCGGCGGACAGCACCGGCGUCGGUUGCAGGGGCGGCGACGGUGGACAGGAGCCGGCGGCGAGGGCCAAGCCGCCAGGGGCCAAGCCCGGCGGACGGGAGCCGGCGGCGGUCCCAGGAGGCGCGAGGGCGGCGGCGGCGGACGAGAACCGAGCGCCGACAUCGGGAUCUGCAGGCGGCGGGACCCGACGAUGGGAUCUGGCGGCGAACGGGAUCGGGCGGCGGACUGGAGCCAGCGGUGCUCGCGGGAGGCGCAGGAGCGGCGGCGGCGGUGGGCCAAGCCUGGUGGCGGGACCCGGUGGCGGUCGGGAGGCGGCGGCGGGCGAGGGAGGCGGCGGCGGUCGCGGGAGGCGCGGGGCGGAUGACUGGAGCGUCGGUGGUGAGGGGCAGCGGGGGGAAAUUUCCUUCGCUUAUUGGAGAAGCGUCUCCCGGCCCGCUUACACAAUAAGCCGGAUGCUAGUUGUUUCCCAGCUUGUGCACUAAGCGGCUUACGUAGCAAGCGGGAAAUAAUCAAAGUGUUUGGGUGGGCUUAUGGCUUAUUUCCACCGAUAAGCAGGAAAUAAGCGGAUACAAACAUGGCCUAAGACUCACCAUACCCUACUUGGAUGUUUUCAGGAAAGAAGCCAUCAGUUGGAGCAGGAAUGUGCCCGACUGACAGAAGCUCUUCGGGUGCAUGAAGUCGGGGCGAAGUUCUUUUCCGUGGAACGCGUGGAUCACGCGGUUCUGCAGGAAAAAUUGGAGAGCCGCUACAAGUCCUUGAACAAUAAGUAUCAAGGUAAGCAUUGCGACUACUUUGGGUGUGUCCAACUGUAGUUGGCUGUGGCCUGAGUUCUUUGUUUUGUAGAGCUCAUGAAGCAGGAAGCGGCUGCAAGGAGCCAAGUUAUUGAUUGGAGGAAUGCUCAUGACCGAGUGGCAGAUGAAGCCAAACAUCUUGGGGCCGCGCUCACGGAAGCUCAGGCUGCUUGCGAGCAUCAGUGGGACCGAAAGAUGCAGAAUGGCGUGCUGCUUGCCAUGGCCAUGGUGGCAUGCAGAGAUCAUGCCCAGACCUUCGGAACGCUUUGGGGUGAACUCCGAGAGCUGUCUGGAGCGGUCGAAGACUUGUUGUAUGCCAUAGCCCCCGUGGAGGAAAGCGCAGGACCGCAAUCGCUAGUAGAGCGACUAAGAGCUGCCCCGAGUAAAGUGGCGGAACUUUGCAAGACUGUUUGCAAACAGGUGCUUGCGGUUGUGAAGUCCUACUACCCGAGGGUAGACUUGGCGGCAGCAGGUGAUGGCGUUGCUCGCAACUGCACAGAGGAGACCUAUGCGUGGUACCUCGAGGAGGCGGAGCCUAUUGCAUCCAAGAUGUCGGAGUUUGUCUCCUUAGAAGAGUUUUAAGCUGCUUGUGUAAUCUUGUAUCCGAGUACAUUGAUAUUUUGAAAUGCCAAGCCUUUGGAUUUGUUGUCGUUGUCUUGCAAAGAGUAGUUUUUACUCCAUUUUGUCGAAUCUCGAAGUAUUGCACCUCUGCCGGGCCCGACCCUCUGGGGAGGGGAUUCGUCUCGCUCGACCCUGAGUUUUGGGGUCGGCUAAAUCUGACCUUGUCGAGGGUAAAAAUUCCGUCUCGCCCGACCUCGAGUCCUGGGGUCGGGAGAGCCGGACCCCUGAGCGAGACUCCGCGUCGUCCGACCCCGAGCGAGAUUCCGCUUCGCCCGACCACGAGGCCUGGGGUCGGCGGAGCCCGACCCUUUGGAAGGGUAGCUCCGCCUCGCCCGACCCUGAGUGAGGCUUCGCCUCGCCCGACCGAGAGUUCGGAGUAGUCGAAGCCCCCGACAUGUAGGCUGUGCUUGGCUUGGAGUCCCGAGUGUCGAGUAGUUGUAAUGCUGUUUGAGUACUCGUCUUUUUGGGGGACACGGGUGUACUAUACUCGUCUGUCCUUUGCGAAUGUACGGGUGUACUGUGCUCCUUUGUCCUUUGCGGAUGCACGGGUGUACUGUGCUCCUUUGUCCGUUGCGGCAUGAGUGCAGUCACAUGGGCAGAGUCAGGAGUUGUCAGACUCAUUGAUCACGGGUGCACAGUAACUCUUGGGCCGGUGGUAGUUGUGGCUUUCGGCUAUAAAUAGGGCUAUCUGGUGGGCGAACCAACUCAAGCUCCUGAGUAGCGAUGGAUUGCCUGCGGUUGCUUCUGUUUGAGUGUAGAGAACCAUCAAAGAGUGCACCGGUGCUAGAAGAUUCCUCGUAGAUUGAGGCCACCUUCGCUCCACAAACUCCUGCGCUCGUAGGGAUAGCCGCGAUGCUAGAAGAAUCCUUGUAGGAGGUUUCAUCGCACGCCUCAUCUUGCAGCUCCUGGUUCAGUGGAGUACGCGCUGGAACUCGCGAGUGAUGGGUGAUGAGUGCCGCGCUCUUCAUCCCGCUCUGAAAGAGGUGGAGGUGCGGCCGUAGAGUAGAUGGGCUUCGCAAGGCUAGCAAAAGAGCAGCCUUGGUUCCCUCUAGGCGCGUCUUGCCGGAUUUGGCGUUGCGCUGUCCAGGCGAUGGCGGUGAUGGAGUAUCUGGCAGUGCCUUGGGUAGGAUACCUGGGCGUGGCUGCGUUUUGCGCAGCUUCCUUGCGUGUAGGCCCUUCGUGCGGUCGGCAAACCUAAGUGGCCUUGUGAUAUAGUAAAAGCCUGAGGCUUAAAUGCAGCCCGCCAGUAGGCAGUUGCUUGUAGUCUUCGUGUAAGCCGAGUCCUUGUACUCGUAUGUAACUUGAUGUACUCUUGUUUCAGUAAAGAUUGAUAUGAAGAUUUUGUAUCAGGGCAAGGAUCCUUGUUGUACUGAUAGCUCGUCGAAGCGAACACCCCUUGACGCCGGUAAUCGGGUGGUCGUCCCGAGUAGUUGCCUUGAAGUGAGUACUCGAGUGUUGCUAUCGGUAAUAGCGACAGAGGUGUUCUAUAUUCCAGGAGUUUGGCACCUGUUCUCCUGAAAGCUCUUGGAGUCUGUAAGAUUCAGGUCCUAUAACCUUUGAUACGAUGUAAGGACCUUCCCAUGGUGAAUUGAGUUUAUGUAAUCCAGACGUGUCUUGAAUACGUUUAAGAACCAUAUCGCCCAAGUUGAAAGAUCUUUCCUUGACGUUGCGGUCAUGAUAACACCUUAAACCGUCAAGGUAUCUGGCAGAUUGCACUAGUGCUGCGCAUCUUGUUUCUUCCAAACUGUCUACAUCCGUUCGCCGCGUUUCUAUUGCAAGUUCUUCGUCGUAGUGCUCAACGGAUGGUGAUUGCCACAUUAUAUCGGCGGGUAAUAUGGCUUCCGAACCAUAUACCAGAAAAUAGGGUGAUAGUCCCGUAGUCUUGCAUGGUUGGGUACGUAGGCCCCACAAGGCAUUGGGUAACUCUUUGAGCCACCGGCCGCCUUUGGUGUUGCCGACGUCAUGUAGUCGUUUCUUCAGAGCGUCGAGUAUCAUGCCAUUAGCUCGCUUGACUUGUCCGUUGGCUCGCGGAUGAGCAACCGAGACAUAGCAGACGUCAAUGCUGCUGUUCUCGCAAUAUUCCCAAAAGUCGUGAUUAUUGAAGUUUGACCCGAGAUCUGUGAUAAUCCUGUUGGAAAAACCAUAGCGGUGUACGAUUUCAUCCAAGAAGUCGAGGACUCGGUCUGCUUUGGGGCAAGUGACCGGUUUGACCUCGAUCCAUUUGGUGAACUUGUCAAUUGCCACGAGUACUCUGUUGAAUCCUCCUGGUGCAGUUGGUAACGGGCCAAUCAUGUCAAGCCCCCAGCAGGCAAAUGGCCAUGUUGGAGGUAUUGUGACUAGCUUGUAAGCUGGCACAUGUUGCUGUUUUGUGAAGAAUUGACAAACUUUGCAUUUCUGAACCAGUUGUUUAGCGUCGGCCAAAGCCAUUGGCCAGUAGAAGCCCGCUCUGAAACCUUGCCAAUUAGUGUCCUUGAAGAUGCGUGGUUGCCGCAGAUUCCUCUGUGAAUCUCUUCUAGGAUUUCUUGGCCAUCUUCUCUGGUGACGCACUUUAUGAGUACUCCAGUUGAUGCAUCUUUCCUGUAGAGCUUGUCUCCGACUAGAAUGUAAUUCUUUACACAUCGGGAGAUUUGCUCAGCUUUAUUCCUAUCGGAUGGGAGCUGGUGAUCUUUGAUGUAGUCGAUGAAGGGUGUCCUCCAGUCGACUUCUAUCAUCAUAAUUUCUCGGGAGACGUCAGUAGUCGGGACUACUGGCUUGCGUAAUUUGUGUACGAAAAUUCCUGCUGGAACUUCUGCACGAGUUGAGCCCAUUUUGGAUAAAACGUCGGCGGCAACGUUGUUGUCGCGAAUGAUGUGAUGGAACUCCAAGCCGAAGAAUUUGUUUUCCAGUUUACAGACUUCUUUGCAAUAAGCGUCCAUGUUGUCCUUGUUUCGGUCCCACUCGUCAUUGACUUGGUUUAUAACGACUAGGGAGUCGCCGUACACUAGAAGUCGUUUGAUGCCGAGGGAGAUUGCGAGGCGAAGGCCGUGUAGCAGAGCUUCGUACUCGGCUUCGUUAUUAGAUGCUUCCUAGAAUAUCUACAGUACGUACUUGAGUUAGUCUCCCUUGGGGGAGAUGAGUAAGAGGCCUGCGCCGGCCCCUUCAAGUUUGAGGGAUCCGUCGAAGUACAUUACCCAAUGUUCUGGUCGUUCGACUGGAGUUGGAACUUGAUUUUCGGUCCAGUCAGCUAUGAAAUCGACCAAAGCCUGAGACUUGAUGACCGUCCUUGGCUUGAAGCGCAAAGUGAGAGCUCCGAGUUCGACUGCCCAUUUGGAGCUUAUACCCGUGGCAUCUCUGUUAUGGAGAAUUUCGCCGAGCGGGAAAUCGGAGAUGACUGUGAUGUUGUGCUCUUGGAAGUAAUGGCGCAGCUUCCGGGAGGUGAGCAGAAUAGCAUAUAGGAGUUUUUGUAUCGGUGGAUAUCGAGUUUUAGAGUCCGAGAGUACUUUGCUGACGAAGUAGACAGGUCGUUGGACCUUGUAAGUGUGGCCCGGUUCAGACCGUUUGACUACUAUUGCCGUGCUGACAACAUGAGUAGUAGCGGAGAUGUAUAGGAGCAAGUCCUCGUUCGGCGAGGGAGCGGUGAGUACAGGAGGCUUUGACAGAAAGUCUUUGAGUUGUGUAAAUGCCCUCUCUGCCUCUUCCAUCCAUUUGAACUUGUCCUGGCGUUUGAGAAUCUUGAAGAAGGGCAGUCCCUGUUCUCCAAGUCUCGAGAUGAACCGGUUGAGAGCGGCCAUGCAGCCUGUGAGUUUCUGCACAUCUUUAAUGCUGGCUGGUGCCUGCAUGUUUGUGAUGGCAGAUAUCUUCUCCGGGUUGGCCUCAAUGCCGCGAUGGCUAAUGAUGAACCCGAGUAAUUUGCCGGAAGGUACUUCAAAGACGCACUUAGUGGGAUUGAGUUUCAACGGAAAGCGCGGAGACUGGAGAAAGUUUCCUCCAAGUCGGCAAUGAGUUCCUCCCGGUGUCUUGUUUUGACGACGACGUCGUCAACAUAAGCUUCGACAUUGCGAUGAAGUUGCUUUUCGAAACACAUCUGUAUAGCCCUUUGGUAAGUUGCUCCUGCGUUCUUGAGUUCGAAGGACAUUGUUUUGUAGCAGAAAGCUCCACAGGGCGUGAUGAACGCUGUUUUGGCUUGAUCUUCCUCUUUGAGGCUUAUCUGAUGAUAGCCGGAGUAGCAAUCGAGGAAGCAUAGCAAGGCGCACCCGGCGGUGGAGUCGACCACUUGAUCAAUCCUGGGUAGUCCAAAAGGAUCUUUCGGGCAGUGUUUGUUGAGGUCGGUGUAGUCGACACACAUUCUCCAUUCGUUGUUUUUCUUACGAACAAGCAUAGGAUUGGCGAGCCAGUCAGGAUGGAAGACUUCCUUGAUGAAUCCUGCCGCGAGUAGCUUGGCUAACUCUUUUUUUAUGGCUUCUCGUCUGUCCUGAGCGAACCGGCGUAGUCAUUGCCGUUUUGGAGUAGCUUUGGGAUCAACGUUGAGAGAAUGCUCGAUCAGUUCCUUGGGCACACCUGGCAUGUCAGCCGAUUUCCAAGCGAAGAUAUCAUGGUUAGCCCGAAGGAAACUGACGAGCGCGAAUUCCUAUUUAGAAUCCAGCCCUGUUCCGAUCAGGGCUGUCUUGGAAGGAUCACCGGUCUGGAGGUCGAUCGAUUUGAAGUCUUGCUCACUGGCGGGUUUAACCUUUGUGGAGCCCGACUUGUUUUUCGGGAUCUCUAGUUCGGUGGGAUGGAGUUUCUUUGAAGCUGUGAAAACUUGCUGCAUGGGACUAGGAGAUUGAGUAGUCGCAGCAAUUUCCACGGCUUCGGUGUCGCACUCGUAGGAUCUCCGGAGAUCUCCUCGUAGUGUGAGUUCUCCUUUGGGACCUGACAUCUUGAGUACCAGGUAGACAUAAUGUGGUAUGGCCAUAAACUUGGCUAGUGCUGGCCGUCCGAGUAUGGCGUGGUAAGAUGUCUCGAAGUCGGCGACCUCGAAUCUGAUGUACUCGGUGCGGUAAUGUUCCUUAGUUCCGAAGGUGACUGGAAUUACAACUUGUCCCAAUGGUAUGGCCACAUUUCCAGGCACAAUGCGAUAGAAAGGUGAAUCCGUUGCGGUAAGCAUUUCAGUGACGUCGAGGCACAUUUUCAUUAAUGUUUUGGCGAAGAUAACGUUGAGGCCGCUCCCACCGUCGAUGAGUACUUUGGUUAACUUUGAACCUGCCACGACUGGAUCCAAGACUAGUGGAAAACGGCCUGGUUCUGAAAAUUUCGUCCAUUGAUCUUUUCUGCUGAAAGAAAUUGCAACUUCCGACCACUUUAGCGGUGUGGGGUCUGUCGGCUCGAUGGCCAUGAUCUCCCUGAGUACGAGUUUGUUAGCUCGCUUGGAUGCAGUGCCGGGAAUGUUGCCAAAAAUGACGUUGACGGUUUUUGAAGCUGGUUGGAAAUCGCCGUCCUUAUCUUCGUCGUUGCGGGCUUUGUUUUUACCCUUAUCUCUGUUUUUGGCGUACUCUUCAGGAGUUGGUGGUGCGGGUAAGUCUUGCAUGACUCAGCGUAUGUUGUAACAGUCUAAUGCGGAGUGCUUGCUAGUCGGGUGCCAUGGGCACUGCUUUUUGAGUAGCUCCGUGAAUGUUGGUCUGUCGUCGUUUCUGCGAUGUCCCUUUUUUCCGGAGCUGGUCAUGGCAGCAACGGUGUUGUCGGGUUUCCUUUUGCGAUUGUGGUUACCCGGAUAGGAGUUCCGAGCAUCAUUGUGCCAAGUCUUAUCUGGUUCAUUGUUGUUGAUGUUGUCGAGUCCGCGGUUACGGUGGGAACCGAACCGUUCUCGUUCUUUGUCUUCUUUAUCGGCCCACUGUUGCACCAUGAGUUUGAGUUCUUUGACAUCGGCUGGUCGUCGGCGACUGAAGUCUUGGUAUGUUCGUCGAUCAUAGAGUCCGUUUUGGAAGCACUUAAUGACGUCUGCUUCAAAGAUGUCCACUAUGGUAGCCUUUUUUUUGAAGAACCAUCGUAGAUAGUCGCGCAGGGUCUCGCCCUCUUUCUGCUUAAUUUGUCUUAAAUCGAUCUUGUUGACUGGUCUAGCCAUGGAGCCGGCGAAGUUGUUGGUAAAAGCCUUUGUCAAGUCUGCCCAAGAGUCAAUGAACUUGGGUUUGAGUGACUCGAGCCAAGUCAGUGGUGCGGGUUCCAUACAUAUGGGGAAAUGAAUGACUUUGGUGUUGUUGUUACCCCCGGCUGCUUGGACGGCUAGUGAGUAACAGCGUAGCCAUUGAACUGGGUCUUACUUGCCGUCGUACUUGGUAAUGCCGGUUGGCUUGAACUUUUCGGAUAAUUUUAUUUUCAUUACCCGGUUUGUGAAAGCGGGGAAGUGGUUGUAGCUGUCGACUUCUCGUUUGCGCCGACUGUUGAGGAUUUCUCGUAGAUCGCUGAAGUUGGACAUCUCGCGGAUCUUCCGGGUAGGGCGAAUACUUUUCACCGAGUUGGUGCAGCUGACUUCACCCACAUCCUUCUGUUGAGUAGGAGCUUUAUGCUUGCUUGGACCUUGGCUGUGUUGCCGGGGUUGGUUGACUGCAUCAUCGUUUCGCGGGGCGACAUUUUUAUCUGCAGCCCCCCUACUUCCAUCUUGAUGCGAUGUAAUGCGAGGAACGGACGGUAUUGGUGAUUCUUUGUCAAGUAGCUUGUAAGCUUGCUCCGCGAGUUGUGCAAUUAGUCCGUUGCCACGCUGCUCGAGUUGAGCUGUGGCUGCGUUAUCCUUAUCUUGAGGCAUCAAUGUCGUUAAGAGGUUGAUUGAAGCGAUAGCCGCAAAGUGGAGUAUUGUGCUCCUGAGCCUGGAUUGCGUUGAAAGCCCGUUCAAGAUUUGUAAUAGGAAUAUUUGUAGCCAUCGACUGUCGUCGCUCAGCUCGAGUGGCAUUGCGCGCCCUUCGUUGGUUGCGCUGUUCGGGAGUUUCAUUGUCGAUUGUAGACUCAUCUUCAGAGAUGUUGUCGACUUGUGCUAGUCGCCUGGGGGUUCUAUUUUGGCUAGUACCCGGAUUGUUAUUCUGAGUAAUAACAAGUAUCUCCCUGUCCGGGUAGUAGCUUCCGGAACUUGAUGUAGCAAUCUCUGUAUAGCUUUGUUCGUGGUUGGACGUAAGUGGAAUGCCUUCUUGAUAUGGCAGGUUGUCUAUAUGGGCGACGAGGCAUGAGUCGUAGUCACGGUCGAGAAAAGAUGAUCGCAAUCCUGGCCAGUGGACGAAUCUGCCUUGUGGUGUCGAAGUUAUUACCAACCCUUGGGCUGGGCCAGAUAAUGGUAUCUCUGGUGAGUAGGAUGAGUCGGAGUCAACGUCCUCAUCCUGCCCGAGUUCAACUCGGGUUCGAGCAAGAAAACCUUGGUAGAGUUUUGUCGCGUUGCGGAGUCCGUGCGGGAAUCGCUUUGAAGUCGAGACUGAUUUGGAUGCUGACUGGGGCCGCCGAAUCCGAAGCGAGUCCGACCCUGAGUCCAGGGGUCGGCUGAGCCCGACCCUUUGAGGGAGUAGCUCCGCCUCGCCCGACCCUGAGUGAAAAUCCGCCUCGCCCGACCCCGAGUCCUGGGGUCAGGAGCGCCGGACCCUUCGGAGGAGUAGUUCCGCCUCGCCCGACCCCGAGUCCUGGGGUCGGGAGAGCCUGACCCCUGAGCGAGACUAUGCCUCGCCCGACCCCGAGGCCUGGGGUCGGCAGAGCCCGACCCUUUGGAAGGGUAGCUCCGCCUUGCCCGACCCCGAGUGAGGCUACGCCUCGCCCGAGCUUGAGUCCUGGGAUCGGCGGAGCCCGACCCUUGAGCGAGAUGUUGGAGUAGUCCGAGGCGAAGUCGAAUCCGACGCGUAGUCGAACUCGAGCUUGUUGACUUUGAAAUCUUAAUUUUUUUUCUGGUCAAUUCUUCUGGUUUCUUCUCCUGAGUGUCGACGAUCUAGUGCCGGAACGAUCCCGAGCCUUCGGCGACGCAGAGCCAGGAUCCAAAAACGAAGGUGGCGCCGGCUUCGAUGAAGAAGACGGGCCUGAUGAUGACUUUCGCCAUUGAGCUCGCGCUGAGAAACUCGACGAGUCCCCCUACCUAGCGCGCCAGCUGUCGGUGUAUUAGACCGGCAACCCGCCUAGGGGUACCCUAGGUGGUCUUUUAUGCGGUAAGGGUCGUCGAGAAUCAAGGAAUCAAUGGUGACGCAAGGAACACGAUUUAGGCAGGUUCGGGCCGCUAGAUCGCAUAAUACCCUACGUCCUGUGUGUUGGUUUAUAUUGAUGUAUGUUCUGGUCUUAAGGAUUGUGUUUGAGGAGGGUCCCUGCCCGGCCUUAUAUACCCGGGAGGGCAGGGUUACAAGUCUGAGUCCUAGUCGGGUACUAUUACAGAGUUCUACUCGGUAUUGGCCCGAGUAGUUUUCCAUAAAUAUACAAGACUAAUCCGAGAAGGAUACGCCUAUCCUUGUUCUGAUCUUGUCCGAGUACGUCCCUUAGUGGGCCGUCCAAGGCCUACUCGUGGGCCUGGGGAGCAUGCCCGACAAGGAAUAAAUAAAUACAUCACCGGGCAAGUUUUUUUACUUUCUUCUUCUAAGUGAAUGCAAUGUGAUAGUACUCAGUCCUUAAACAAUGCAUGCUACGGAAAUUUCAUAGCAACAGAUGAGAUACCCACCUAGCAAUCAACUAAAUGUUUUAGUUCACUGAGCAAUGUUAUUGAAACAUCAAGUGUUAGAAUUGGGAGCUCAUAAUACUGUAGAACGGUACCAAUAACAAGUAAGGACAUCUUAUCCAAUUCAGCGUAACUACUAAAUUAAAGAGUAAGUAAACAAUUGUCUGCAACAAAUUUGCCAAAAAGUAAAGGUUUUGUGCCUUGUACCAUGUGCAGACGAUAAUAACAACAUUUUAUCAACAAGAAAAAAUUUGGACUGCAGACUACAACAAAAGAAAAGGCACCAAAAAUUUUCCCUUAGAUAUUUCGGACAAAUCAACAACAUAGCCAUCACUAGCUAAUAGUAGUAGCUACAAUUUCGAGUUGAGUGAGAAACUCACAACCUAUGCCUAUGUGAUCAUAUCAUAUGCUCAUUGACUCAUUUUGGUUCAACAGCAUAAGUAACUCUUUCAUGGUAUUCCCCACGUGCAUAACCAGGUAAAAGCUAAAAGAGGAGGGAAAAAAUGUGCAGGUGAACAGCCAGACAUGCAUAAAAGACGGCUAUAAAAAUUUGGUACUUCCACUACUGAAUAUCAAAGCCACUAACUAUCUCAGGUAAACUAUUACAAAGGGAUGCUUUGCCAUCAAAUGAAGCACUAGCAACAAUCAAGAACCAUCUCGAAUGGAGCUAUCUCAAUCCUUGAUCAGUUUUACUGCAGUAGCUAGACUAACUACUAAGAUAUAAAAUCCAUGGACAUGUUUUGCAUUUCUACUAGCACGGAUGAUGAGUCAGUUCUAAAUUUGUCAGUGUGUUUACCAAUUUAGCCCUCAAUCAGCAACUACUAGGAAGCAGCCAUCACCCGAAAGCAGGUUUUCAGCACUCUGCAGUCAUUUCUAUCGGGAUCGCACGAUCCACCGUUACGUAGGAAUGCAACUCGCUACGUCAUUCAAUUCGUAACUGCCACAUGGUUGCCGACGAAACAUCGUGGUUUUUAGC
This 15335-nucleotide long non-coding RNA is filed under the name Setaria italica (foxtail millet). RNAcentral's name for it is "long non-coding RNA (SITA_LNC001018)". The record is from RNAcentral. Lineage: Eukaryota; Viridiplantae; Streptophyta; Magnoliopsida; Poales; Poaceae.